Molecule: ribosomal RNA, 427 nt
Filed under: uncultured bacterium
Lineage: Bacteria
Description: bacterial SSU rRNA
Rfam family: Bacterial small subunit ribosomal RNA
Source: RNAcentral
UGGGGAAUUUUGGACAAUGGGCGCAAGCCUGAUCCAGCAAUGCCGCGUGCAGGAUGAAGGCCUUCGGGUUGUAAACUGCUUUUGUACGGAACGAAACGGCUCUGUCUAAUACAUGGGGCUAAUGACGGUACCGUAAGAAUAAGCACCGGCUAACUACGUGCCAGCAGCCGCGGUAAUACGUAGGGUGCGAGCGUUAAUCGGAAUUACUGGGCGUAAAGCGUGCGCAGGCGGUUAUGUAAGACAGAUGUGAAAUCCCCGGGCUCAACCUGGGAACUGCGUUUGUGACUGCAUAACUAGAGUACGGCAGAGGGAGGUGGAAUUCCGCGUGUAGCAGUGAAAUGCGUAGAGACGCGGAGGAACACCGAUGGCGAAGGCAAUCCCCUGGGCCUGUACUGACGCUCAUGCACGAAAGCGUGGGGAGCAAACA